UACGAAGGGGGCUAGCGUUGUUCGGAAUUACUGGGCGUAAAGCGCGCGUAGGCGGAUCGCUAAGUCAGGGGUGAAAGCCCUCAGCUCAACUGAGGAAGUGCGCCCGAAACUGCAGAGCUUGAGUACCGGAGAGGAUGGCGGAAUUCCCCAAGUAGAGGUGAAAUUCGUAGAUAUGGGGAGGAACACCGGUGGCGAAGGCGGCCAUCUGGACGGAUACUGACGCUCAUGCACGAAAGCGUGGGGAGCAAACAGG
RNAcentral lists this ribosomal RNA (253 nucleotides) under uncultured bacterium. RNAcentral's name for it is "partial 16S ribosomal RNA". It matches the Rfam family "Bacterial small subunit ribosomal RNA", at positions 524 to 776 of the family's 1533-position model. The record is from RNAcentral.